Molecule: ribosomal RNA, 449 nt
Filed under: uncultured bacterium
Lineage: Bacteria
Description: bacterial SSU rRNA
Rfam family: Bacterial small subunit ribosomal RNA
Source: RNAcentral
GCCAGACUCCUACGGGAGGCAGCAGUCGGGAAUAUUGCACAAUGGAGGAAACUCUGAUGCAGUGACGCCGCGUGCAGGAAGAAGGUUUUCGGAUUGUAAACUGCUUUAGACAGGGAAGAAACAAGACAGUACCUGUAGAAUAAGCUCCGGCUAACUACGUGCCAGCAGCCGCGGUAAUACGUAGGGAGCAAGCGUUAUCCGGAUUUAUUGGGUGUAAAGGGUGCGUAGACGGGUAUAUAAGUUAGUUGUGAAAUCCCUCGGCUCAACUGAGGAACUGCAACUAAAACUGAUUUUCUUGAGUACUGGAGAGGAAAGUGGAAUUCCUAGUGUAGCGGUGAAAUGCGUAGAUAUUAGGAGGAACACCAGUGGCGAAGGCGACUUUCUGGACAGUAACUGACGUUGAGGCACGAAAGUGUGGGGAGCAAACAGGAUUAGAUACCCCCGUAAAA